CUUCCCUCUUAGAACUGCUUCUGCUGUAUCCCGCGAGUUUUGGUGCGUUGUAUUUCCAUUGUUCAAGUGAAUGUGUCUCCCACCACGUCCCUUGGUAGACAGUGCUGCUCCCAGACCCCAGCUGAGAGGAGAUGGAACUGCGUCACUGGCUGCUUCACCAUCCACAGCCUGGACUGAGCUGGGUGGGCCUGCUACUGGAAGUACAGGUGGGCAUGGCUCUUCCCACAUCCCUGGCUUGGCAGAUGGUGCCAGUUGCAGGAUCAAGCUCUGCCCACCAUUGAGCAGCCCAGGCAUC
Molecule: long non-coding RNA, 295 nt
Filed under: Homo sapiens (human)
Lineage: Eukaryota; Metazoa; Chordata; Mammalia; Primates; Hominidae
Description: non-protein coding lnc-PRKDC-1:1
Source: RNAcentral